Molecule: unclassified non-coding RNA, 798 nt
Filed under: Caenorhabditis elegans
Lineage: Eukaryota; Metazoa; Nematoda; Chromadorea; Rhabditida; Rhabditidae
Description: Non-coding transcript of protein-coding gene F53C3.6b
Source: RNAcentral
AUGAAUCGCCUGAUUUGGAGCUUCUUGCUCAUUUUCUCUUUAUUGGGUAGAAAUCUGGAUGCAAGAGGCGGUAGAGGCCGUGGCGGCGGCGGCGGUGGCCGUGGUUCUAGUGGUGCACGAGGUGGUGUAGGAGGACGCGGUGGCGGUGGACGUGGUGGCGGCGGCGGCGGCUUCAGAUCAGGAGGUGCCCGAUCGAGCUUCAGCAGUUUUAGGUAAUCACUCUCUUUGUAUUUUGAAUAUGGGAAAUAUUUUAUCAGGGGAGGAAGUAGUCAUUAUAGCUCGAGUUUCCGGCAGAAUGUAUUCCACACCAGCUCGACUUCCAGGACAUUUGUAUUUUCUCCGAUGACUCGUACUAUUGUAAUCAUCUCACCUGCUUCUCCUAUGAUUUACGAAAACAACCAUUACUACUGGGCAGGGCAUCAUGUGAAUACUACAGAAAAACCUUACAAGUGUGAUUAUCAAAUCACUUAUGAGGAUAUGGAAUUGAGACAUGUGACAUUCGCAAAUGGCACAAAACCAGGAAAUAUAACAUUUGGAUGCGCAGAAUAUCAGAGUUGUUGUGGAAUGGAAUGUUGUACUGAAUUAAGUGAUUUCCAAGAAUGUAUGAUUAUAAUUGGAGUAUUCCUGACGGCAGGCCUCUGCUUGUUGAUCCGCAGAUGGGUCAGACAAAAAGGAUAUUGUAACGGCAAAAUGACUUGCAAAAGAGACAGUCGGCCGACAUCGGGUCCAGAAUUUCAAGAACUAACUCACAGAGCUCAUGGUGAUACAAAUCGUGUCAACACUUCACUGAAAACAUGA